Molecule: long non-coding RNA, 1628 nt
Organism: Mastomys coucha (southern multimammate mouse)
Lineage: Eukaryota; Metazoa; Chordata; Mammalia; Rodentia; Muridae
Exons: 3
Source: RefSeq, a predicted model, not a curated record
GAUUGAAGUCAAAAAGAAAAAACAGAACUAUUCAGAGACUGUCAGGCCUGACUCUUGGAGAAAGGCUUAAUGUUCUACUUAGCAUUCUGGUUUUUUUUUUUUUUUUUUUUUUUUUUCAAUGUGCCUCUUCCUGUGUAAGGGCUGGAAAGGACCCUGGAAACCACAGUCUUGCCAAAUUGCCCAGGCUAGCCUUCGACAUAUGAUAUUCAUCCUCAUCCUCACCUGGAAUUAUAGACUCAAGGCCCAACCAGAGAGAGACCCUGCCUCAAAGGGAUGAGGCGAAGAGCGAAGAUACCUACACCCUCCUCUGGCCUCCGUGAGUACGUGUGCCCAAGCACCUGCACAUAACACAUACAUGAGUAAUAAUAACCCAGUGCCCAAAUGCUGAGCCUGUGGCUAUGGAGAGAGCUGAUAUAUCAUGUUACCUCUGCUUCUAGACUGCCCUGAGAUCAGAGAGAGCCUGGACCAGGUGCCUAGCUCCUGUGGUGCUAGGGACUGAACCUGGGGCUUUGUGCAUGACAGGCAAUCACUUAGCUACCUCACCCACACCCCUGCCUGUCACUGUCUUUAAUAUUACUUAAUAUCUUAAGCAGGGCCUCUGUCUAUUUACUCUAAAACUACAACUUAGAUGGAAGCCCACGCCCUAUCAUUCCUCCCCAAGUGCCCACACUACAAUCCUUCCCACAGUGUGUAGUUUUGCUUUCCAGGGUAAAUAACUCUAAUAGCUCUUGCAGGUGGUGUCACUGCCACUGGCUUUUAACCCUUUUCAAACAGCAGUCAGUAAUUUGUAGAUCAUUGGUGAAACACAACCUUGAUACACAGACACACACGCACACACACCGCAGCCUUUAUAGGAAACCCUCCUGUCCCCUCCCUCCCCAUGCCACCUGUUCCUGGCAGAGAACAGGCUUCCCUCUGGGGAGGAUGGAAUGUUCCGAAAAAGGACAGUUGGCUCUUCUCCCUAGCUCCAAAAGACACUCUUAAUCAUCUAACAUCUGCCUCUCUUGUCUAAGUAAAAAUUCUUUGCAAAGACAGAUCUUGUCUUCAGCCCCAUGGAUCUGGCUCAUAGAGUACACAUUUGAAAACACUUAGAGGCUGGCGAGAUGGCUCAGUGGUUAAGAACACUUGCUGUUCUUACCAAAGGACCUGGAUGGCUCACAACCAUCUGCGUGUACACACACAUACACACAAGCACAUACAUGCAUGUGUGCAUAAAAAAUAAAACUGUGAUAAAAAAAAUUUGUAGUCUCUGAUUUAGGUGUGAUGCAUACCUUUAAUUCAAGCACUCCCUCACUCCUAAAGCAGAGGCAGGUGGAUCUCUGAGAGUUCCAGGACAGCCCCAGUUAUAUAAUGAAGUCCUGUCUAUGAAUGAAUGAAUGAAUUUUAAAGGCUGAGGCAGGUUCAAGAACAGCAAGAUGGUUUAGAAGGGGAAGGUGCUGGCUGUUUAAACCUGAUGAUCAUCCCCAGAAUCCACAUAUAGACAAUAGCAAAAAAAUCAGAAAGGUAAAGUAAAAAACAAAGCUUAAGACCUAGCCUCUGGGCUAUGGCUCAGUAUAGUGUUUGCCUAGCAUUUCUGAGGCCCAGCACUGCUUUAAGUAAUCAAAAACAGCCGGCAGUGGCACACACCU